Molecule: long non-coding RNA, 252 nt
Filed under: Gossypium raimondii (Peruvian cotton)
Lineage: Eukaryota; Viridiplantae; Streptophyta; Magnoliopsida; Malvales; Malvaceae
Description: long non-coding RNA (GRAI_LNC009514)
Source: RNAcentral
CAGAACGGUCAAAGUAAAAUGUAGAAUAAAAUUCAAAAACCAACUCAUAAUAUGCAGGUUCAUCAAUAGCAGCAAAAUAUGUCCACCCAAUAGCAUCAAAAUAUUGAUUAACAGAUUCUUCAAUAUCUAAAGAAUAUAAUGAGAAUAAGUCGACGUGCUUACAUAUUGGAAGAGGGCGAUGUUGGAUUUGUUCGAAUUGUGCUUGAUGUGCCGGGUUCGUGAACGUUAGAUUCCCGUGAAAUCUGUUCUCCG